RNAcentral lists this unclassified non-coding RNA (544 nucleotides) under Hevea brasiliensis (rubber tree). The record is from RNAcentral. Lineage: Eukaryota; Viridiplantae; Streptophyta; Magnoliopsida; Malpighiales; Euphorbiaceae.
GGUUGUUCUGCGGCGAACUUUGAAGAAAGUUAAAGAUAAAAUGUCCAAGGCUCAGUUUUCCUGUGAGCAUUGUACUAAGUUGAAGAAAUCAAAGCAGUAUUGUGGUAUAUGCAAAAAAAUUUGGCAUCAUUCAGAUGGUGGGAACUGGGUGUGUUGCGAUGGUUGUGAUGUUUGGGUGCAUGUAGAGUGUACAGAUAUUUCCAGCAAUGCUUUGAAGAAUCUACAGAACACUGAUUACUUUUGCCCAAAGUGCAAAGGAAUUUCUAACAAAAAAUUGUUGGGCUCAGUACAGGGGGGACCAAAAGCAAGAUUAAGAGAGAGCAGUGGAAGUGUGAUGCCUGACAAGAUCACUGUUGUGUGUACUGGCGUUGAAGGGAUCUAUUAUCCAGAUAUUCAUUUAGUUCAGUGCAAGUGUGGUUCUUGUGGAAUAAGGAAGCAAACACUAAGUGAGUGGGAGAAACAUACAGGUUGCAGAGCUAAGAAAUGGAAGUGCAGCGUGAAAGUCAAGGGCUCAAUGAUAACACUUGAGCAAUGGCUUUCAGAC